RNAcentral lists this ribosomal RNA (490 nucleotides) under uncultured bacterium. Its description in RNAcentral is "partial 16S ribosomal RNA". It matches the Rfam family "Bacterial small subunit ribosomal RNA", at positions 28 to 507 of the family's 1533-position model. The record is from RNAcentral.
GAUGAACGCUAGCUACAGGCUUAACACAUGCAAGUCGCGGGGCAGCAUGGGGGUUGCUUGCAAUCCCCGAUGGCGACCGGCGCACGGGUGAGUAACGCGUAUCCAACCUGCCCUUCACCACGGGAUAACCCGGCGAAAGUCGGACUAAUACCGUAUGUUGUCCAUUGACGGCACCCGAUUUGGACGAAAGGUUUGGCGGUGAAGGAUGGGGAUGCGUCCGAUUAGCUGGACGGCGGGGUGACGGCCCACCGUGGCGACGAUCGGUAGGGGUUCUGAGAGGAAGGUCCCCCACACUGGAACUGAGACACGGUCCAGACUCCUACGGGAGGCAGCAGUGAGGAAUAUUGGUCAAUGGGCGUAAGCCUGAACCAGCCAAGUAGCGUGCAGGAUGACGGCCCUAUGGGUUGUAAACUGCUUUUAUGCGGGGAUAAAGUGGCCCACGUGUGGGUUUUUGCAGGUACCGCAUGAAUAAGGACCGGCUAAUUCCGUG